UACGGAGGAUUCAAGCGUUAUCCGGAUUUAUUGGGUUUAAAGGGUGCGUAGGCGGUCGGAUAAGUUAGAGGUGAAAUCCCGGGGCUCAACUUCGGAAUUGCCUCCGGUACUGUUCGGCUAGAGAGUAGUUGCGGUAGGCGGAAUGUAUGGUGUAGCGGUGAAAUGCUUAGAGAUCAUACAGAACACCGAUUGCGAAGGCAGCUUACCAAGCUACUUCUGACGUUGAGGCACGAAAGCGUGGGGAGCAAACAGG
Molecule: ribosomal RNA, 253 nt
Filed under: uncultured bacterium
Lineage: Bacteria
Description: partial 16S ribosomal RNA
Rfam family: Bacterial small subunit ribosomal RNA
Source: RNAcentral